Molecule: ribosomal RNA, 460 nt
Filed under: uncultured organism
Description: partial 16S ribosomal RNA
Rfam family: Bacterial small subunit ribosomal RNA
Source: RNAcentral
ACGUACACUCCUGCGGGAGGCAGCAGUGGGGAAUAUUGCACAAUGGGCGGAAGCCUGAUGCAGCAACGCCGCGUGCGGGAUGACGGCCUUCGGGUUGUAAACCGCUUUCGCCUGUGACGAAGCGUGAGUGACGGUAAUGGGUAAAGAAGCACCGGCUAACUACGUGCCAGCAGCCGCGGUGAUACGUAGGGUGCGAGCGUUGUCCGGAUUUAUUGGGCGUAAAGGGCUCGUAGGUGGUUGAUCGCGUCGGAAGUGUAAUCUUGGGGCUUAACCCUGAGCGUGCUUUCGAUACGGGUUGACUUGAGGAAGGUAGGGGAGAAUGGAACUCCUGGUGGAGCGGUGGAAUGCGCAGAUAUCAGGAGGAACACCAGUGGCGAAGGCGGUUCUCUGGGCCUUUCCUGACGCUGAGGAGCGAAAGCGUGGGGAGCGAACAGGCUUAGAUACCCUAGUAGUCCCAUGA